Molecule: ribosomal RNA, 544 nt
Filed under: uncultured bacterium
Lineage: Bacteria
Description: partial 16S ribosomal RNA
Rfam family: Bacterial small subunit ribosomal RNA
Source: RNAcentral
UGGGGAAUAUUGCACAAUGGGCGAAAGCCUGAUGCAGCAACGCCGCGUGAGUGAUGAAGGCCUUCGGGUUGUAAAGCUCUGUCUUUUGGGACGAUAAUGACGGUACCAAAGGAGGAAGCCACGGCUAACUACGUGCCAGCAGCCGCGGUAAUACGUAGGUGGCAAGCGUUGUCCGGAUUUACUGGGCGUAAAGGAUGCGUAGGCGGAUUUUUAAGUGAGAUGUGAAAACCCUAAGCUUAACUUGGGGACUGCAUUUCAUACUGGAAAUCUAGAGUGCGGGAGAGGAGAAUGGAAUUCCUAGUGUAGCGGUGAAAUGCGUAGAGAUUAGGAAGAACACCAGUGGCGAAGGCGAUUCUCUGGACCGUAACUGACGCUGAGGCAUGAAAGCGUGGGUAGCAAACAGGAUUAGAUACCCUGGUAGUCCACGCCGUAAACGAUGAGUACUAGGUGUAGGAGGUAUCGACCCCUUCUGUGCCGCAGUUAACACAAUAAGUACUCCGCCUGGGAAGUACGAUCGCAAGAUUAAAAACUCAAAUGAAUUGAC